This is a long non-coding RNA of Dromaius novaehollandiae (emu), 298 nucleotides long. RefSeq lists it as uncharacterized. The transcript is spliced from 2 exons. The record is from RefSeq and is a predicted model, not a curated record. Lineage: Eukaryota; Metazoa; Chordata; Aves; Casuariiformes; Dromaiidae.
AGGAGUUUAAUCAAUGGGUCAAACCCCGAGAUGGGGUUUGCGCAGUUUGUCAGCGAGACGUGUGCUUUGGUUGGACACCAGCCUUGUCAAACUUUCCUGACGUGCUCCUGCAAAGUGCUCGGAGACGUUCAGUCCCCUCGGCUCCACCAAAGGGUGAUGAUGUCUCCGCUCUUCGAAGGAUUGUACCUGCGUGGACUCCGCUCUCGGGAAAUGCCUCUGCUUCACCGGGGCAUUUAAUUGCCCCCAGACGUAAUUUUUUAUUCUGCGCCAAGAAUAUAGUACCCUAAAUACACAUGAG